AGACAACACUAGAUGGGGUGGUCAGGGAAGGUCUGUUGAGCUGAGGCUGAAGGUUGAGAAAGGCCAGGAAGGACUUACUUGGGAAAAUGUUUGUGGUGAUAUGUAUGAGUGCUGCAGGUGAAACAAAAAGGAAGCCAGUGUAGUUGGAUCAGAUACCUCAAAUCAGCUAUGCAUCCACAGCCCCAGAGCUAAGUGAUAACACCAGGUAUGACUUUUUCUCUCGAGUGGUUCCGCCUGACUCCUACCAAGCCCAAGCCAUGGUGGACAUCGUGACAGCACUGGGAUGGAAUUAUGUUUCGACACUGGCUUCUGAGGGGAACUAUGGUGAGAGCGGUGUGGAGGCCUUCACUCAGAUCUCGAGGGAGAUUGAAAAUGUAUGAAAGGCCUGGUCUUGUUGGACAGAUUGGGCUAAUUGAUUUAAUUGGACAACUGUUCACACCUGCUGUGGUGUUUGCAUUGCUCAGUCACAGAAAAUCCCACGUGAACCAAGACCUGGAGAAUUUGAAAAAAUUAUCAGACGCCUGCUAGAAACACCUAAUGCUCGAGCAGUGAUUAUGUUUGCCAAUGAGGAUGACAUCAGGAGGAUAUUGGAAGCAGCAAAAAAACUAAACCAAAGUGGGCAUUUUCUCUGGAUUGGCUCAGAUAGUUGGGGAUCCAAAAUAGCACCUGUCUAUCAGCAAGAGGAGAUUGCAGAAGGGGCUGUGACAAUUUUGCCCAAACGAGCAUCAAUUGAUGGAUUUGAUCGAUACUUUAGAAGCCGAACUCUUGCCAAUAAUCGAAGAAAUGUGUGGUUUGCAGAAUUUUGGGAGGAGAAUUUUGGCUGCAAGUUAGGAUCACAUGGGAAAAGGAACAGUCAUAUAAAGAAAUGCACAGGGCUGGAGCGAAUUGCUCGGGAUUCAUCUUAUGAACAGGAAGGAAAGGUCCAAUUUGUAAUUGAUGCUGUAUAUUCCAUGGCUUACGCCCUGCACAAUAUGCACAAAGAUCUCUGCCCUGGAUACAUUGGCCUUUGUCCACGAAUGAGUACCAUUGAUGGGAAAGAGCUACUUGGUUAUAUUCGGGCUGUAAAUUUUAAUGGUUGCCUAAGAGGGAUCCAGAUGUCUCUACCCUGGCCAACUCUUUUUACUCCUUCAUUUUCCAGUAGUUGGGCAGUGCUGGCACUGUGAACGCUGUGAAGGUUACAACUACCAGGUGGAUGAGCUGUCCUGUGAACUUUGCCCUCUGGAUCAGAGACCCAACAUGAACCGCACAGGCUGCCAGCUUAUCCCCAUCAUCAAAUUGGAGUGGCAUUCUCCCUGGGCUGUGGUGCCUGUGUUUGUUGCAAUAUUGGGAAUCAUCGCCACCACCUUUGUGAUAGUGACCUUUGUCCGCUAUAAUGACACACCUAUCGUGAGGGCUUCAGGACGCGAACUUAGUUACGUGCUCCUAACGGGGAUUUUUCUCUGUUAUUCAAUCACGUUUUUAAUGAUUGCAGCACCAGAUACAAUCAUAUGCUCCUUCCGACGGAUCUUCCUAGGACUUGGCAUGUGUUUCAGCUAUGCAGCCCUUCUGACCAAAACAAACCGUAUCCACCGAAUAUUUGAGCAGGGGAAGAAAUCUGUCACAGCGCCCAAGUUCAUUAGUCCAGCAUCUCAGCUGGUGAUCACCUUCAGCCUCAUCUCCGUCCAGCUCCUUGGAGUGUUUGUCUGGUUUGUUGUGGAUCCCCCCCACAUCAUCAUUGACUAUGGAGAGCAGCGGACACUAGAUCCAGAGAAGGCCAGGGGAGUGCUCAAGUGUGACAUUUCUGAUCUCUCACUCAUUUGUUCACUUGGAUACAGUAUCCUCUUGAUGGUCACUUGUACUGUUUAUGCCAUUAAAACGAGAGGUGUCCCAGAGACUUUC
Molecule: small RNA, 1878 nt
Filed under: Pan troglodytes (chimpanzee)
Lineage: Eukaryota; Metazoa; Chordata; Mammalia; Primates; Hominidae
Description: processed transcript
Source: RNAcentral